GACAGAGGGGGCAAGCGUUGCUCGGAAUUAUUGGGCGUAAAGGGCGCGUAGGCGGUCGUGACAAGUCACUUGUGAAAUCUCCGGGCUUAACUCGGAACGGUCAAGUGAUACUGUCGGACUAGAGUACAGAAGGGGCAACUGGAAUUCUCGGUGUAGCAGUGAAAUGCGUAGAUAUCGAGAGGAACACCCAGUGGCGAAGGCGAGUCCCUGGACAGGUCCUGACGC
Molecule: ribosomal RNA, 225 nt
Filed under: uncultured bacterium
Lineage: Bacteria
Description: partial 16S ribosomal RNA
Rfam family: Bacterial small subunit ribosomal RNA
Source: RNAcentral